RNAcentral lists this ribosomal RNA (319 nucleotides) under uncultured Helicobacter sp. RNAcentral describes it as "bacterial SSU rRNA". It matches the Rfam family "Bacterial small subunit ribosomal RNA", at positions 297 to 643 of the family's 1533-position model. Lineage: Bacteria; Pseudomonadati; Campylobacterota; Epsilonproteobacteria; Campylobacterales; Helicobacteraceae. The record is from RNAcentral.
AGGGUGACGGACCACUGGACUGAGACACGGUCAGUCUACGGGAGGCAGCAGUAGGGAAUAUUGCUCAAUGGGGGAAACCUGAAGCAGCAACGCGCGUGGAGGAUGAAGGUUUUAGGAUUGUAAACUCCUUUUGUUAGAGAAGAUUAUGACGGUAUCUAACGAAUAAGCACCGGCUAACUCCGUGCCAGCAGCGCGGUAAUACGGAGGGUGCAAGCGUUACUCGGAAUCACUGGGCGUAAAGAGUGCGCAGGCGGGAUAGCAAGUCAGAUGUGAAAUGCUAUGGCUUAACCAUAGAACUGCAUUUGAAACUGUUAUUCUA